AUACAGAGGAUCCGAGCGUUAUCCGGAUUUAUUGGGUUUAAAGGGAGCGUAGGUGGAUUGUUAAGUCAGUUGUGAAAGUUUGCGGCUCAACCGUAAAAUUGCAGUUGAAACUGGCAGUCUUGAGUACAGUAGAGGUGGGCGGAAUUCGUGGUGUAGCGGUGAAAUGCUUAGAUAUCACGAAGAACUCCGAUUGCGAAGGCAGCUCACUAGACUGUUACUGACACUGAUGCUCGAAAGUGUGGGUAUCAAACAGGAUUAGAUACCCUGGUAGUCCACACAGUAAACGAUGAAUACUCGCUGUUUGCGAUAUACAGUAAGCGGCCAAGCGAAAGCAUUAAGUAUUCCACCUGGGGAGUACGCCGGCAACGGUGAAACUCAAAUGAAUUGGCGGGG
RNAcentral lists this ribosomal RNA (393 nucleotides) under uncultured bacterium. RNAcentral's name for it is "partial 16S ribosomal RNA". It matches the Rfam family "Bacterial small subunit ribosomal RNA", at positions 523 to 918 of the family's 1533-position model. The record is from RNAcentral.